RNAcentral lists this transfer RNA (66 nucleotides) under Trachinops taeniatus (eastern hulafish). Its description in RNAcentral is "tRNA-Cys". The record is from RNAcentral. Lineage: Eukaryota; Metazoa; Chordata; Actinopteri; Plesiopidae.
AGUUCCGAGGUGUUAGCAUAUCUGAUUGCAAAUCAGAAGGAGCAGAGUAACGCUCUGCCGGGACUU